RNAcentral lists this unclassified non-coding RNA (307 nucleotides) under Hevea brasiliensis (rubber tree). The record is from RNAcentral. Lineage: Eukaryota; Viridiplantae; Streptophyta; Magnoliopsida; Malpighiales; Euphorbiaceae.
GCGCGCUUUAACACCAAUCCUAUUUAAAUAGGCAGCAAAAAUCCUUGUGGACAUGCACUCCCCAAAGGAAACUAAGUAAUCUCUGGUUCGAAGAGUCAAUUCUUUCAUCAUAGCAAUUCCCUUGAGAAGUUGCUCCAAUUCAUCAAGGUGAUUUGCAAUAAUAGACCUGUCAACACCAAGCACGUCUGCAGUCUUCAGAUGCAACUCUUUUAUGAAUUUCAUCUCUUCAAUAUCCGAUGCAUUAGUAACACCACAGCUAACAGCCUUUUCUCCAGCCAGCAAAAGUUUAUUGGUUGUCUUUCCCAUG